RNAcentral lists this ribosomal RNA (534 nucleotides) under Arsenophonus endosymbiont of Bemisia tabaci. RNAcentral's name for it is "bacterial LSU rRNA". It matches the Rfam family "Bacterial large subunit ribosomal RNA", at positions 175 to 750 of the family's 2925-position model. The record is from RNAcentral. Lineage: Bacteria; Pseudomonadati; Pseudomonadota; Gammaproteobacteria; Enterobacterales; Morganellaceae.
CGAGGCGAACCGGGGAAACUGAAACAUCUCAGUACCCCGAGGAAAAGAAAUCAACCGAGAUUCCCCCAGUAGCGGCGAGCGAACAGGGAGCAGCCCAGAGUCAACAUCAAUAUUUACCGCAGGAGAAAGAUCUGGAAAGGCCGGCAAUAAAGGGUGAUAGCCCCGUAUCUGAAGCGGUAAGUGUUGUGAACUCGAAGAGUAAGGCGGGACACGUGUUAUCCUGUCUGAAUAUGGGGGGACCAUCCUCCAAGGCUAAAUACUCCUGACUGACCGAUAGUGAACCAGUACCGUGAGGGAAAGGCGAAAAGAACCCCGGCGAGGGGAGUGAAAUAGAACCUGAAACCGUGUACGUACAAGCAGUAGGAGCACCCGAAAAGGUGUGACUGCGUACCUUUUGUAUAAUGGGUCAGCGACUUAUAUUCUGUAGCAAGGUUAACCGCAUAGGGGAGCCGUAGGGAAACCGAGUCUUAACUGGGCGUUAAGUUGCAGGGUAUAGACCCGAAACCCGGUGAUCUAGCCAUGGGCAGGUUGAAG